CUAGCAAAUCCCAUAAACCGUGGCUCAGUUCAGAUCGUAGGCUGCAACUCGCCUACGUGAAGUAGGAAUCGCUAGUAAUCGCAGGUCAGCAUACUGCGGUGAAUACGUUCCCGGGCCUUGUACACACCGCCCGUCACACCAUGGAAGUUGGCCAUGCCCGAAGUCGUUACUCCAACCCUUGUGGAGGAGGACGCCGAAGGUAGGGCUAAUGACUGGGGUGAAGUCGUAACAAGGUAGCCGUACCGGAAGGUGCGGCUGGAUCACCUCCUAA
RNAcentral lists this ribosomal RNA (271 nucleotides) under Prochlorococcus marinus str. MIT 9321. RNAcentral's name for it is "partial 16S ribosomal RNA". It matches the Rfam family "Bacterial small subunit ribosomal RNA", at positions 1264 to 1533 of the family's 1533-position model. The record is from RNAcentral. RNAcentral also lists the same sequence under 1 other name. Lineage: Bacteria; Bacillati; Cyanobacteriota; Cyanophyceae; Synechococcales; Prochlorococcaceae.